AGACAGUAGACAUCAGUAGAUCUCUGCCCUGUCUGCCUCUCUAUGUUACAAAAUGUUUUCCUCAGCCUUCCUUAGUAGCAGUGAUCCUGGCUGUAACUUGUGCUUUCAACCAGCAGUUUCUUAUCUUCUGUAGAUUCAUGUUCAGGUAUUUGAGUUUUGGUUUUUUAAAAUGUCUUUUUAGGGGGUAGAAGAAAAGAAAUCUGAAAUUCCACCUCUCAAGGGAGCCAAGAAGCCUGGUACCAGCAAGUUGAGGGUACUCAAGGACAACUCACCUGGUGAUGGAGGCAAACAAGCUGCCACUCAUUGUUGGCAAACCAGAAGAAGAUGAGGCAGAGGAUGGGGACAUCUAGGAAGCCAGCGUAGCUCAGCAGCAAUGAAUGGGAUAAUUAUUCAGAGGGAUUCCUCCCCAGCAGAUGCCAUUCUUGCCUGCCACUCAGAAAUCGUUCCUUCUAGGUUUUGUGAUGUUUCCUUGGCAGUUGUCAAAAGCGAUA
Pogoniulus pusillus (Red-fronted tinkerbird) is the source of this 491-nucleotide long non-coding RNA. RefSeq lists it as uncharacterized. NCBI's taxonomy places the organism in Eukaryota, Metazoa, Chordata, Aves, Piciformes, Lybiidae. The record is from RefSeq and is a predicted model, not a curated record. The transcript has 3 exons.